Marmota flaviventris (yellow-bellied marmot) is the source of this 322-nucleotide non-coding RNA. The record is from RefSeq and is a predicted model, not a curated record. NCBI's taxonomy places the organism in Eukaryota, Metazoa, Chordata, Mammalia, Rodentia, Sciuridae.
AGAGAGGGGAGCCUUCUCGGACCUGGUCAUAGAAAAAGUGCCAGGGAUGGAGCACAGGCCUCAGACAUGAUGAAUCCCUAGCCCACGGCAUCAGGUGCAGAACUGAAAUUGGACUUCUUCAGCCUGGCUCAAAUGUAUCCACACUUAAAACACCACCACCCUGCUUCUCCAUGACAUGGAAACCAAGGCUUGCUGAAAUUAAGGUGCUUUUCCAAGGUCGCAGCAAAGCAGAAAGAACCAGGCCUGGGACUGCCCAGCCGGGGUUCCUGCCCGCCACCCAUGCCCUCCUGGAUCCUUCUUUGCACCCUCUACUUGGGAGUUA